This 254-nucleotide ribosomal RNA is filed under the name uncultured bacterium. RNAcentral's name for it is "partial 16S ribosomal RNA". It matches the Rfam family "Bacterial small subunit ribosomal RNA", at positions 524 to 776 of the family's 1533-position model. The record is from RNAcentral.
UACGUAGGGUGCGAGCGUUGUCCGGAAUUAUUGGGCGUAAAGAGCUCGUAGGCGGUGUGUCACGUCGGCCGUGAAAACCUGCAGCUUAACUGUGGGCGUGCGGUCGAUACGGGCAUCACUGGAGUUCGGCAGGGGAGACUGGAAUUCCUGGUGUAGCGGUGAAAUGCGCAGAUAUCAGGAGGAACACCGGUGGCGAAGGCGGGUCUCUGGGCCGAUACUGACGCUGAGGAGCGAAAGCGUGUGGAGCGAACAGG